RNAcentral lists this long non-coding RNA (455 nucleotides) under Vicia faba (fava bean). The record is from RNAcentral. Lineage: Eukaryota; Viridiplantae; Streptophyta; Magnoliopsida; Fabales; Fabaceae.
AUGAGCAGUUCAGAUAGAAUCGAACUUUCGAUUGAUCCAGGUACUUGGAAUCCUAUGGAUGAAGACAUGUUUUCUCUGGAUCCCAUUGAAUGGGACAAACCUUAUACGGAAGACGAACCUUCUACGGAAGACGAAUACGACUCUUCUACGGAAGACGAAUACGAAUCUUCUACGGAAGACAAACCUUCUAACGAACCUUCUACGGAAGACAAACCUUCUAACGAACCUUCGACGGAAGACAAACCUUCUAACGAACCUUCGACGGAAGACAAACCUUCUAACGAACCUUCGACGGAAGACAAACCUUAUACGGAAGACGAAUCUUCUCCGGAAGACGAAUCUUCUCCGGAAGACGAAUCUUCUCCGGAAGACGAAUCUUCUCCGGAAGACGAACCUUCUACGGAAGACGAAUACGACUCUUCUACGGAAGACGAACCUUAUAUAGAUCGUCUUGA